GUGCACAUACGGUAAAGUUGGUAACGCUGUUGAGCAGGUUAACACCCUCACCGGCGAACGUUAUGUGCAUCGUGACCUUUCUUACUUGUGGGAUUCGAAGUCCAAGGUGGUGCGCACUUCGGUGGGUGCUUAUACUUGGACGUUCCAUAUGGUGAGUGUCGACACUUGGAUCAUCGAGUUGACGGGUUGUCCAGUCAACAUGGAUGAAAGGUUCGCAAAACGGGUACCGGUGCUUGGAUUGGUUGGUGCUUGUGACGAGAUGAACACUCAUGACGUCACGCCAACCAAAUUCCCGCAUCCUUCGCUUGCGGCAUUGCCUUCAGCUUCGUGUGUCAUGGCCGCUGGUGUUCCAUUGAUUAAGUUUGAUGGAGGCCAGUUGCCUGACUGCCAGUUGACGUGUCCCCCUCUGUUUGAGUUUUUGGCCAGUAACAUGGUUGGAAAACCCAGAGACGCGGACCGUCUCGAUGACCUGUUCUCUUUGGCACGUUCGCACGUGUCAAAUGGGCAGGAAUUCCCUGGUAAGCGAAACUUUGAUGUGCCGCACCACGAAAUAGCUGC
This 558-nucleotide unclassified non-coding RNA is filed under the name Hevea brasiliensis (rubber tree). Lineage: Eukaryota; Viridiplantae; Streptophyta; Magnoliopsida; Malpighiales; Euphorbiaceae. The record is from RNAcentral.